GAUGAAGAACGUAGCGAAAUGCGAUAACUAGUGUGAAUUGCAGAAUUCCGUGAAUCAUCGAGUCUUUGAACGCACAUUGCGCCCCCUGGUAUUCCGGGGGGCAUGCCUGUCCGAGCGUCAUUGCUGCCCAUCAAGCACGGCUUGUGUGUUGGGUCGUCGUCCCCUCUCCGGGGGGGACGGGCCCCAAAGGCAGCGGCGGCACCGCGUCCGAUCCUCGAGCGUAUGGGGCUUUGUCACCCGCUCUGUAGGCCCGGCCGGCGCUUGCCGAACGCAAAUCAAUCUUUUCCAGGUUGACCUCGGAUCAGGUAGGAUACCCGCUGAACUUAAGCAUAUCAAUAAGCGGAGGA
This 347-nucleotide unclassified non-coding RNA is filed under the name soil metagenome. Its description in RNAcentral is "partial contains 5.8S ribosomal RNA, internal transcribed spacer 2, and large subunit ribosomal RNA". The stretch from base 1 to 120 matches the Rfam family "5.8S ribosomal RNA", at positions 35 to 154 of the family's 154-position model. The record is from RNAcentral.